RNAcentral lists this ribosomal RNA (759 nucleotides) under uncultured bacterium. Its description in RNAcentral is "bacterial SSU rRNA". It matches the Rfam family "Bacterial small subunit ribosomal RNA", at positions 28 to 776 of the family's 1533-position model. The record is from RNAcentral.
GAUGAACGCUAGCUACAGGCUUAACACAUGCAAGUCGAGGGGCAUCAGGAAGAAAGCUUGCUUUCUUUGCUGGCGACCGGCGCACGGGUGAGUAACACGUAUCCAACCUGCCCUUUAUUCGGGGAUAGCCUUUCGAAAGAAAGAUUAAUACCCGAUGGCAUAAUGAUUCCGCAUGGUUUCAUUAUUAAAGGAUUCCGGUAAAGGAUGGGGAUGCGUUCCAUUAGGUUGUUGGUGAGGUAACGGCUCACCAAGCCUUCGAUGGAUAGGGGUUCUGAGAGGAAGGUCCCCCACAUUGGAACUGAGACACGGUCCAAACUCCUACGGGAGGCAGCAGUGAGGAAUAUUGGUCAAUGGGCGCUAGCCUGAACCAGCCAAGUAGCGUGAAGGAUGAAGGCUCUAUGGGUCGUAAACUUCUUUUAUAUAAGAAUAAAGUGCAGUAUGUAUACUGUUUUGUAUGUAUUAUAUGAAUAAGGAUCGGCUAACUCCGUGCCAGCAGCCGCGGUAAUACGGAGGAUCCGAGCGUUAUCCGGAUUUAUUGGGUUUAAAGGGAGCGUAGGUGGACUGGUAAGUCAGUUGUGAAAGUUUGCGGCUCAACCGUAAAAUUGCAGUUGAUACUGUCAGUCUUGAGUACAGUAGAGGUGGGCGGAAUUCGUGGUGUAGCGGUGAAAUGCUUAGAUAUCACGAAGAACUCCGAUUGCGAAGGCAGCUCACUGGACUGCAACUGACACUGAUGCUCGAAAGUGUGAGGUAUCAAACAGG